RNAcentral lists this long non-coding RNA (5505 nucleotides) under Lactuca sativa (garden lettuce). RNAcentral describes it as "long non-coding RNA (LSAT_LNC006082)". The stretch from base 720 to 859 matches the Rfam family "Small nucleolar RNA snoR136". The record is from RNAcentral. Lineage: Eukaryota; Viridiplantae; Streptophyta; Magnoliopsida; Asterales; Asteraceae.
UUUAACCUAAUCGGCCGGAUCGAAACAAGCUUGUUAAUCUCAGCCGUCUAUUAUAUCAACAUUCGGAUCUAACCAGUUGCCCUUCCUCUAUAUAACAACUCGUUUCCUCUUUCCCAGACUCAGCUUUCAAUUAGGGUUUACGUUUUAUCAAACAUCUGAUUAUUUCUCCGCCGUUGGAGUCUACAAGGUAAUCGUCUUCGUAUUCUUUUUAGAUUAAACUUUAUCAAAUAUGUUUCAUAGCCCUAUCUCUCCUUCUCAAUGCGAAUGAAAUGCAUCUAUUUCCAAUUUUUAUGUUUUCCUGCGAAUUUACUAAGGCUUCGCUAAUCUGGUCGGCAUGAAUUUUAUUAGUUUCUGUCUGACUCGUUCCCUUGAAGCAAAAUUAAGCGUGCUGUUUUUAGAUUUUUAUAAUCUUCAAUCGAUUUUCAUUGGAGAACACUUAAGCAGCUACAUAUGUUCAUUAAGUUAAACAAAUGAAGCAUUCAAAAUCAAUCAUUAGUAACCACUUACGAUACUUUUCGGGAUUUUCUUUUUUAUUGUAAUUUGGGGAAAAUGUGACUGUGAUGAGCCAAUACAGACCUGUAAUGACUUGCGAAAAUGAUCGCAACUUAUGAACAUCUAAGGGACUGAGUCUCGAUUCCCUCAUUUUAUUUAUGACUUCAAUUUUGGAAUUUAUUUAAGUUCUAAAUUUUUGAAAAUUCUAAUUUUCAAUAUGUAUGUUCGUGGCUUUAUAUACUGUGAAUGAGGAUUUGCUACAAUUUAGUAUUGGCAAAUUUUAAUGGAGUGAAGCCUAGAAAAAAUGUUCCCCUCGCUAUCCGGUGCAACCAUCAAUGUAGCAUUUGGACGUUGGGAAACAACAUUUGAAAUUCAUGUUUAUUGAUACAUAUAAUUUUUAGAAUACGUUGAUAUACUUAACGACACUGAUCAUAUCUCAAGUUACAAUACACGAGUUUUCCCAAUGCGUUUUUACUCAGUAGUUGUCUACAUAUGAAUCUGUCGAAUCCAAUCAUGUAUUUGUUAAGUGCAUGCAUUUUAAGUAAUCGUUGAAGAUUAAGAGAGAAGUGAAAGGAUGUGUUAUUUACAAACCUCAAGGUAUUUCAAAAUUGAUAUCUAAAAAUAUCCGAAUGCUAGACCCUGAGUUGCUCACUAAUUUAAUACUUGAAUCUUGAAGCUAUAAACGCUUUAAAUACAUGAAGGAAAUACCAAAAUGGCUAUAAGAACGAAACUAAAAGAUUGAAACAGAAGAUCUAAAGACUAGACUGAAACAGAAAAUCUUUGAGCUGCUAGAGCAAUUGUCCAUCCUUGCCACUCUGUAUAAGUCAACUCCAAAUUCUUGACCAUAUCCCCUCGCAACCAAUCUUGCCUUAUGCUUUUUAACUUACCUGUUUUCGUUCAACUUUGGUUUGUCAACCCUCUUCACACCGACUAAGGACCAUGUUUGGACCUUUUCAAUGAUAUCGAUCUCACGGUCCAUUGCCAUUCUCCACUUCAUCUCUUUAGCUGCAUCUUCAUAGCGUAUCAGAUCCUGAUUGAUUGUUUCCACAACAUGCAACUCAUCUUCGUCUGAGGUUAAAAAAAUCUCUUGUGGCAUAAUCUUACAAGUACACAUGUCGUUUUUGUUGUCUUCCCUCUGUGGCUUAGUUAUUGUUAGGACCAGAGGCGAAAUCAAGGGUAGUGCCUUGGUGCUUUGAUUAAUCAAUUUGUUUACUAUCUUCAUCAUUGAAGAUGUAGUGUUUCAUCAGUUUAGUUAUAGUUUCCCCAUUUGAGUUCUUCUUCACCUUCAACUUAUUUUUCUUCAAUUUUACUUUAGUCCCAACCUUUGUUCUCUUCAAAGAUCACAUCAUAAGCAACCCCAAACACGAAAAUGAUCAACUGUUGGCUUCACCUUGCUCCAAGCUUUCUUGUGGGGUCAUAUCAAGAAGGGCCUUAGUUGUACUUUUAUUUAGCACAUAGAAACUCCACCGUGUGGCUUUAACCCAAAACAUCUUGGGCUUGUUUUUUGCAGCUAGCAAAGUCACCACCAUAUUUAUCACUGUUCUUUUCUUGUGUCUUGCAACCCUAUUCUAUUGUGGGGUAAAGCUUGUGGUCAAUUGUCGUUUGAUCCCAUGUUUCUUGCAAAAAUUUCUGAAGUCAUUAGAUAGGUACUCUCCUCCCCUGUCUGUUCGGAUAGCUUUAACCACCUUUCCAGUUUUAGUCUCCAUGUUUCUCUUGAAUUCAUUGAAGCUUUCAAGGGUCUGUGACUUUUUUUACAACAAAUAAACCCAACCCUUGCGACUGUAGUCAUUAAUAAAGCUAAAAAAUUAUCUCUUUCCUGAUUGAGAUGCUGGUGUAAUUGGCCCAUAUAUGUGAGAGUGCACCAACUCCAACAUUUCUUCAGCACAUCGUGUACUUGAUUUCGGAAUGGCUUCUUUAGUUUGCUUUCCCUUUAUAUAAUCCCUACAGUUGUGUCCAAAACAAAGUAUCGUCAUUCAUGUACAGACAUUCAUUCGUCUUUUGAUCUGCAACUUCAUUGGCAUUUUCACUUGGUGCAAACAUCCUGUUUGUGCUCAUAUAACAUUAUUGCCAUUCUCCACUUCAUAUCUUUAGUUGCAUCUUCAUAGUGUGUCGGAUCAUGAUUGAUUGUUUCAACAACAUACAACUCAUUUUCAUCUGAGGUUAACACUUCUCUUGUGACGUAAUCUCGCAAGUAUACAGACCGUAUUUGUUGUUUUCCAUCCUUGGCCUGGUUAUUGUUGGGACCAGAGUCGGAAUCAAGAGUAGCGCCUUGGUGAUAUGAUCUUCAAUUUCUUCAUUAUCAUAUGUUCAUCAAUGUAGUCAUAAUAUUCCCAUGUGAGUUCUUCACAUGCAUCCUUUUUUUUCCUUCAAUUUUACUACACUCCCAACCUUUGUUCUCUUCAAAGAUCACAUCUUUACUUGUUACUACUUUCAUUGUUUCAGGGUUUAUGAGCCGAUAUCUCUUUGACUCUUCACUUACACCUUAACACACAAACAAAACUAUUGUUAUCUAGUAUUGCUAACUAAUUCAAUACUUUAUUCAUGAGGUCAAAAAGGCUUUAAAUACAAGAAGGAAAAUAAUAAAAUGACUAUAAAAAUGGAACUGAAAGAGUGAAACAGAAAAGCUAAAGACUAGGUAGACUAAAUAAACACAUGUGCAACUCUUGGUUGACUAGUCAAUCUUAUUUGAUUUCCUUUAUUGCAAUCCUAAAUACUCCAACAAACUGUAAGUACACUUUCAACAAAAUUUAUCCUAUUAUAGCUGCAAGAUUUUGAAAGCCAAGUUGUUGACUUAAACAUAGCUUUGAAGUUCACAGAAGCAAAACUUAAAGCAUCAUCAACCUUCUUUUGAGCAUCCGAAGAAUCCCUAACAAAAUGGACAGAAACUUGACAAAUGAUAUAAAUGCAUGUGUUACUCUUUGAUGAUAAGAUUCCACAAAUUUUAAGGUUUAUGGUUCCUUUACACUCUUUGAGGCCACUUAAAAUAUUCACAUCAUAAAUGUAAGGGUCUCAUGAAUAUUAAACAAGUUAUUGGUCAAAACUGGUAUCUCUUAGGAAGAGGUUUGAUACACUCGACGACUUACUCAACCUGUAAGAUAUUUGACAUUAACGAACAAUUUAUUAUACCGAUCUUCAAGCUUAUAGAAAGAACACUUAAUUGUGUAGUAAGGGUGAACAUUCCGAUGGAAUAAGAUCUGAUUGGUUCUUGGAUUUGACUUUGUUGAGAUAUGUUGACCUUGGAUUGAAUUUGUUGAGGCUUAUCGGGUAUAUAUUUGGAUUUUCACGUUCUUUUACCUUACGUAUCGGUACAUAAGGUGCAACUUGUUGAAAGUUAGUUUGUUUGUUAUGAGCAUAAAUAUAGUACAAAACUAAAAAAGACAAAAUCAUAGUAUAAAAAAAUUGCUGAAAAGUUUGAAAAAUUCUAGCUUUAAAAUCCAAACUCAACGGGCCUAAAAUGUAAAACGUAUGACAAUUCCUAUGUGUUGAUGCAGGAUUUAAAACUCUACAAACCCUAGAAGGGUUAGAUUUUCGUUCAAGGAGGGUGUAAAAAGGGGUUGCAUUUUGAAGGAAAGAGUUAGCAUCUAGUGUUUGAUCCAUGGUUGUUAGAAAUAUCAUCCAUAAUUAAUGACUUUAGAUGCUAUUGCAAUCGGUCUUUCAUUUGGAUAAAUCAACAACUGUUUUAAUGUCUUUAGAUAUUAUUUCAAUCAGUCUCUUAUUUAUUUGGAUAAAUCAAUAACUAUAUGAAAUCUAAUAUUUUUAAAUAAUCAAAAGAGAGUAGGUUCUAAACAUGCAAAAUGAACACAAUAAUAAUGAAUUAACAGAAAUGGUAGCAAAACCAGCUUAAAUUAACACAAAUGGUAGCCAAACCAACUUAUUAUUAACUCACCACAAAAUAAUCAUCAAAUUAGUUAUACUUUUAUUUUUUAUAAGUUUCAAAGUAUAUGAUAUAUGCAUAUCUAUAUACAUAUUUUACAUAAUAUCUUAAUAUUUCUAGUCAUUUUUAUGCCCUUUAUAUAACAAAAAGGUACAUAAUCUAUUGUAUGAUGUGUUGUAGUGGUAAAAUAGAUGCUCGGAGCAAAAAAGAAGUUGAAAGUUGGAAGCUAGGAAUUUGGAUGACGAUAAAAAAAUGAAGAAAAAUACACUCUCCACGUUGUGGCAACAUUCCCACGACGUGGCUUUUUGGAUUUUCCCGAUGAAUCUAGAAGACUUGUUGAAUACAAGAUAAACACGAAGGCCACGACUUCGUGGUGAUAUGUUUUCGGGAAAACUAUACAUUGAAGCCAUUAUCCUCCGAAAAUAGAACUUUGGCCAGAAGCUAUUGUCGUCUUUUGAAGGCCGAGUACCCACUUUGAAGUUUGGAGUUGCGAAAGUCGAUCAUAGCUUGGAAUCGAGAUAAUUGAGGCAAUACAACAUUCUAUUACGAUUUUCUACUUAAGUUUAAUCUUGUCUAUUAUGAUGAAUUUUGUUUUGCUGUUUUUACUUGCUGAAAUCAUGGGCUAAAACCCUAUGACUUUCGUUAAGUUUAGAUUGACUUUUUAUGUCUUGAUUUAUGGUUUAAGUUAUGUUUUGUUGGUUAUUUGUUACUUUACCUUAUUAAAGAACCUUCUAUGCUUAUGAGAACUACUUUUAUGUUUAUUGCCAAGUUUAAUUUAGAUUGCAUGCUCAUCUUUCUUUUAUUGAACUUGAAUCUUAUGAUCUUUGUGAACAGCAAAAUUAUAGGACUAAUGUUUUGACCAAAACCUAGUGUUAAAUAGAAAAAGCGGGUAAGUAAUUGUAGGAUCUAAUAUAUGACGACCGAUCAUAUAUCGUAUUGAUUCAAUAAACCAAUUUGAUCAAUCUAUUAUAAGUCUAAUUUAACUCGAACCAGACACUAGUAGACUUGUUAGUUUAUCCGCCUGAUCACCGUAUGAAUGAAAUUGUUUACUAAAGAAUUAAGUUAGUGAACAUUAACUUAGUCAUAUUAUAAAUUGGUAACCAACAAAACUAUAAUUCAUUGCACUUUCAUAAAUCAAC